CUUUUAACUAUGUACAGUGGUGCCCUGCAAGAUGAAUGCCUCGCAAGACGAAAAACUCGCUAGACGAAAGGGUUUUCCGUUUUUUGAGUCGUUCCGCAAGACGAAUUUCCCUAUGGGCUUGCUUCGCAAGACGAAACAUCUUGCGAGUUCUUGCGAGUUUGUUUCCUUUUUCUUAAAGCCGCUAAGCCGUUAAUAGCCGCUAAGCCGCUAAUAGCCGCUAAGCCGCUAAUAGCCGCUAAUAGCCGCUAAGCCGCUAAUAGCCGUGCUUCGCAAGACGAAAAAACCGCAAGACGAAGAGACUCGCGGAACGGAUUAAUUUCGUCUUGCGAGGCACCACUGUAU
Podarcis lilfordi (Lilford's wall lizard) is the source of this 342-nucleotide non-coding RNA. Lineage: Eukaryota; Metazoa; Chordata; Lepidosauria; Squamata; Lacertidae. The record is from the annotation of a GenBank genome assembly.